GAUGAACGCUGGCGGCGUGCCUAACACAUGCAAGUCGAACGGAGAUUACGGACGGAAGUUUUCGGAUGGAAGCCUGUAAUUCUUAGUGGCGGACGGGUGAGUAACGCGUGGGCAACCUGCCCUAUACAGGGGGAUAGCAGCUGGAAACGGCUGGUAAGACCGCAUAAGUCGGUUAAAUCGCAUGAUUUGAUCGGGAAAUGAGCAAUCAGGUAUAGGAUGGGCCCGCGUCCGAUUAGCCAGUUGGCAGGGUAAAAGCCUACCAAAGCGACGAUCGGUAGCCGGACUGAGAGGUCGGACGGCCACAUUGGGACUGAGACACGGCCCAAACUCCUACGGGAGGCAGCAGUGGGGGAUAUUGCACAAUGGAGGAAACUCUGAUGCAGCGACGCCGCGUGAGUGAAGAAGUAUUGCGGUAUGUAAAGCUCUAUCAGCAGGGAAGAUGAUGACGGUACCUGACUAAGAAGCCCCGGCUAACUACGUG
Molecule: ribosomal RNA, 481 nt
Filed under: uncultured bacterium
Lineage: Bacteria
Description: partial 16S ribosomal RNA
Rfam family: Bacterial small subunit ribosomal RNA
Source: RNAcentral